RNAcentral lists this ribosomal RNA (445 nucleotides) under uncultured bacterium. Its description in RNAcentral is "bacterial SSU rRNA". It matches the Rfam family "Bacterial small subunit ribosomal RNA", at positions 354 to 796 of the family's 1533-position model. The record is from RNAcentral.
GUAGGGAAUAUUGGGCAAUGGAGGAAACUCUGACCCAGCCAUGCCGCGUGAAGGAUGAAGGUCCUACGGAUUGUAAACUUCUUUUAUUAGGGAAGAAACCCUCGCAUUCAUGUGAGGCUGACGGUACCUAAGGAAUAAGCACCGGCUAACUCCGUGCCAGCAGCCGCGGUAAUACGGAGGGUGCAAGCGUUAUCCGGAUUCACUGGGUUUAAAGGGUGCGUAGGCGGAAUGAUAAGUCAGUGGUGAAAGCCCCGAGCUCAACUUGGGAAUUGCCAUUGAUACUGUUGUUCUUGAGUUCGGUUGAGGUAGGCGGAAUGUUGCAUGUAGCGGUGAAAUGCUUAGAUAUGCAACAGAACACCGAUUGCGAAGGCAGCUUACCAAGCCGACACUGACGCUGAGGCACGAAAGCGUGGGGAUCAAACAGGAUUAGAUACCCCAGUAGUCC